AGCUCUAGAGAGAGAUUACAGAGGUAUGAGAGCCCUAGUGCACAGAGAGAGAGUGCAGGGGUGUAAGAGCUCUAGAGAGAGAAUGCAGAGGUGUGAGAGCCCUAGUACAGAGAGAGAGUGCAGGGGUGUGAGAGCUCUAGAGAGAGAAUGCAGAGGUGUGAGAGCCCUAGUGCACAAAUAGAGAGAGUGCAGGGGUGUGGAAGCUCUAGAUAUAGAGUGCAGAGGUAUGAGGGCCCUAGAGAGAGAAGCUCGGGGAUGAUAGGGAACAUAGGAGAGAGAGAGAGAGAGAGAGAGAGAGAGAG
RNAcentral lists this long non-coding RNA (302 nucleotides) under Amborella trichopoda. RNAcentral describes it as "long non-coding RNA (ATRI_LNC000611)". Lineage: Eukaryota; Viridiplantae; Streptophyta; Magnoliopsida; Amborellales; Amborellaceae. The record is from RNAcentral.